ACACGACUACAUUAGAUACCCCCGUAGUCCCAGCCGUAAACUAUGCGCGUUAGGUGUACUGGUGACCACGAGUCACCGGGGUGCCGAAGGGAAACCGUGAAACGUGCCGCCUGGGAAGUACGGUCGCAAGGCUGAAACUUAAAGGAAAUUGGCGGGGAGCACCACAACGGGUGGAGCCUGCGGUUUAAUUGGACUCAACGCCGGAAAUCUCACCGGAUAGGACAGACAUAUGAUAGUCGGGCUGAAGACUCUACUUGAUGAUCUG
RNAcentral lists this ribosomal RNA (265 nucleotides) under uncultured archaeon. RNAcentral describes it as "partial 16S ribosomal RNA". It matches the Rfam family "Archaeal small subunit ribosomal RNA", at positions 717 to 982 of the family's 1478-position model. The record is from RNAcentral.